CGCUAGCUACAGGCUUAACACAUGCAAGUCGAGGGGCAGCAUGGUCUUAGCUUGCUAAGACUGAUGGCGACCGGCGCACGGGUGAGUAACACGUAUCCAACCUGCCGUCUACUCUUGGACAGCCUUCUGAAAGGAAGAUUAAUACAAGAUGGCAUCAUGAGUCCACAUGUUCACAUGAUUAAAGGUAUUCCGGUAGACGAUGGGGAUGCGUUCCAUUAGAUAGUAGGCGGGGUAACGGCCCACCUAGUCUUCGAUGGAUAGGGGUUCUGAGAGGAAGGUCCCCCACAUUGGAACUGAGACACGGUCCAAACUCCUACGGGAGGCAGCAGUGAGGAAUAUUGGUCAAUGGGCGAGAGCCUGAACCAGCCAAGUAGCGUGAAGGAUGACUGCCCUGUGGGUUGUAAACUUCUUUUAUAAAGGAAUAAAGUCGGGUAUGCAUACCCGUUUGCAUGUACUUUAUGAAUAAGGAUCGGCUAACUCCGUGCCAGCAGCCGCGGUAAUACGGAGGAUCCGAGCGUUAUCCGGAUUUAUUGGGUUUAAAGGGAGCGUAGAUGGAUGUUUAAGUCAGUUGUGAAAGUUUGCGGCUCAACCGUAAAAUUGCAGUUGAUACUGGAUAUCUUGAGUGCAGUUGAGGCAGGCGGAAUUCGUGGUGUAGCGGUGAAAUGCUUAGAUAUCACGAAGAACUCCGAUUGCGAAGGCAGCCUGCUAAGCUGCAACUGACAUUGAGGCUCGAAAGUGUGGGUAUCAAACAGGAUUAGAUACCCUGGUAGUCCACACGGUAAACGAUGAAUACUCGCUGUUUGCGAUAUACAGCAAGCGGCCAAGCGAAAGCGUUAAGUAUUCCACCUGGGGAGUACGCCGGCAACGGUGAAACUCAAAGGAAUUGACGGGGGCCCGCACAAGCGGAGGAACAUGUGGUUUAAUUCGAUGAUACGCGAGGAACCUUACCCGGGCUUAAAUUGCAGAUGAAUUACGGUGAAAGCCGUAAGCCGCAAGGCAUCUGUGAAGGUGCUGCAUGGUUGUCGUCAGCUCGUGCCGUGAGGUGUCGGCUUAAGUGCCAUAACGAGCGCAACCCUUGUUGUCAGUUACUAACAGGUCCUGCUGAGGACUCUGACAAGACUGCCAUCGUAAGAUGUGAGGAAGGUGGGGAUGACGUCAAAUCAGCACGGCCCUUACGUCCGGGGCUACACACGUGUUACAAUGGGGGGUACAGAGGGCCGCUACCACGCGAGUGGAUGCCAAUCCCCAAAACCUCUCUCAGUUCGGACUGGAGUCUGCAACCCGACUCCACGAAGCUGGAUUCGCUAGUAAUCGCGCAUCAGCCACGGCGCGGUGAAUACGUUCCCGGGCCUUGUACACACCGCCCGUCAAGCCAUGGGAGCCGGGGGUACCUGAAGUGCGUAACCGCGAGGAGCGCCCUAGGGUAAAACUGGUGACUGGGGC
This 1443-nucleotide ribosomal RNA is filed under the name uncultured organism. RNAcentral describes it as "SSU rRNA". It matches the Rfam family "Bacterial small subunit ribosomal RNA". The record is from RNAcentral.